RNAcentral lists this non-coding RNA (45 nucleotides) under Schistosoma haematobium. Lineage: Eukaryota; Metazoa; Platyhelminthes; Trematoda; Strigeidida; Schistosomatidae. The record is from RNAcentral.
AUUUAUCUGAUAAGUCUCAAAUAGGACGAAACACGUGUUCUGAAU